This 454-nucleotide ribosomal RNA is filed under the name uncultured Rikenellaceae bacterium. Its description in RNAcentral is "partial 16S ribosomal RNA". It matches the Rfam family "Bacterial small subunit ribosomal RNA", at positions 341 to 792 of the family's 1533-position model. The record is from RNAcentral. Lineage: Bacteria; Pseudomonadati; Bacteroidota; Bacteroidia; Bacteroidales; Rikenellaceae.
ACGGAAGGCAGCAGUGAGGAAUAUUGGUCAAUGGACGCAAGUCUGAACCAGCCAUGCCGCGUGCAGGAAUAAGGCCCUAUGGGUCGUAAACUGCUUUUGUGGUGGAGCAAUAAGUCGUACGUGUACGGCGAUGAGAGUACAUCACGAGUAAGCAUCGGCUAACUCCGUGCCAGCAGCCGCGGUAAUACGGAGGAUGCAAGCGUUAUCCGGAUUUAUUGGGUUUAAAGGGUGCGUAGGCUGUGGUCCAAGUCAGGGGUGAAAGCCCGGAGCUCAACUCCGGAACUGCCUUUGAUACUGGAUUGCUGGAAUACGGAUGCCGUGGGAGGAAUGAGUAGUGUAGCGGUGAAAUGCAUAGAUAUUACUCAGAACACCGAUUGCGAAGGCAUCUCACGAAUCCGUCAUUGACGCUGAGGCACGAAAGCGUGGGGAUCAAACAGGAUUAGAUACCCUGGUA